ACCUAGGCGACGAUCUGUACUUGGUCUGAGAGGAUGACCAGGCACACUGGAACUGAGACACGGUCCAGACUCCUACGGGAGGCAGCAGUGGGGAAUUUUCCGCAAUGGGCGCAAGCCUGACGGAGCAAUACCGCGUGAGGGAGGAAGGCUCUUGGGUUGUAAACCUCUUUUAUCAGGGAAGAAAAGAUGACGGUACCUGAUGAAUCAGCAUCGGCUAACUCCGUGCCAGCAGCCGCGGUAAUACGGGGGAUGCAAGCGUUAUCCGGAAUUAUUGGGCGUAAAGCGUCCGUAGGUGGUUUCACCAGUCUGUUGUCAAAGCGUGCGGCUCAACCGCAUACGGGCAAUGGAAACUGUGAGACUAGAGUGCGAUAGGGGUCACAGGAAUUCCCAGUGUAGCGGUGAAAUGCGUAGAUAUUGGGAAGAACACCAGCGGCGAAAGCGUGUGACUGGGUCUGCACUGACACUGAGGGACGAAAGCUAGGGGAGCGAAAGGGAUUAGAUACCCCUGUAGUCCUAGCCGUAAACGAUGACAACUAGGUGUGGUUCGUAUCGACCCGAGCCGUGCCGUAGCCAACGCGUUAAGUUGUCCGCCUGGGGAGUACGCACGCAAGUGUGAAACUCAAAGGAAUUGACGGGGGCCCGCACAAGCGGUGGAGUAUGUGGUUUAAUUCGAUGCAACGCGAAGAACCUUACCAAGGCUUGACAUCCUGCGAACUUUUCUGAAAGGAGAAGGUGCCUUCGGGAGCGCAGAGACAGGUGGUGCAUGGCUGUCGUCAGCUCGUGUCGUGAGAUGUUGGGUUAAGUCCCGCAACGAGCGCAACCCACGUUUUUAGUUGCCAGCAUUGAGUUGGGCACUCUAGAGAGACUGCCGGUGACAAACCGGAGGAAGGUGUGGAUGACGUCAAGUC
Molecule: ribosomal RNA, 908 nt
Filed under: Nodosilinea foveolarum LS01A1
Lineage: Bacteria; Bacillati; Cyanobacteriota; Cyanophyceae; Nodosilineales; Nodosilineaceae
Description: bacterial SSU rRNA
Rfam family: Bacterial small subunit ribosomal RNA
Source: RNAcentral